This is a non-coding RNA of Ciona intestinalis (vase tunicate), 1452 nucleotides long. The record is from RefSeq and is a predicted model, not a curated record. NCBI's taxonomy places the organism in Eukaryota, Metazoa, Chordata, Ascidiacea, Phlebobranchia, Cionidae.
AAAACAUUAUGUUCCUAUUUACAAGUUGGAUCAUCUAGGAACUCUAUAAUGAAAGUUACCAUGGAAAAGAUAUUACAUUUCUUUUGUCAUCCUCGUUGAAUAACAAGACAAGCAAAAAAUAUCAACUAGCACUUGAUUGCACCUACAGAAGCAAUUUUGAGGUAAUUGUAAAAUUAAUGGCAGUGAAACAAUUUGCGCAGCAAAGUUUAUAUUACAGUUAAAGGUUUAAUUAAAUAUUUUUGUUCCAGUUUCAUCAAGAAUGUUAUCGUGUAACUGAUUAGCAUUCUUCAAUUGAUUCUUCAAUUUUAUGUUUUGGUAUUGUUCCUUGGAUUUUUUUAAUUUUAUUCCAGUUGUUAUUCGUUCCAAUUGUCUGAAGCUUAUAUGCUUAUUUUUAGUAAGAUAUUUUACCAGCAGUGCUUACGGUAAGCAGUAAAAUCCCCUUUCUCAAUACUUUUUAAUGAAAUCAUUGUAGUGUUUGCUUUGAAGAGUCAAUACUCUAUGGUGCAACGCUUCGUGCAUAUUUCUUUUAUUCGUUUAUCGGAAAUUAAACAUGCACAGCACGUCGAACGUUAACUGGGUAAAUAAUAGUUUCAUUUGUUUAUAGUAAAUCAAACAUAGUUACUUUUUAUGUUCAAUCAAGUUGGUGUGUUUAGUAUUGGUGCAACUUUUACACAAAUAAUGAUGUAACUUUGUUGUUUGGUUAAGUUUGUAUGCUUUGUAAAUAAAAGCCAUGUCUAUUAAAACCUAAGUCCAAUUUUUCAUUAAAAAUUUGAUUUUAAAAGUCAAGUCCCCUAUUUUCUGUUGAUACUGUUGAUGUCAUUUUCAUUCUUUUAACUAACUACCCAGCCUAAACAUAUAUCUUAAAUCAUUGAAUACGAUAGCAAAGACCAAAUCAAUUAAAAAGACCUAAUUAUAGAGUAAAGGGAAUUAUCAAUGUCAGUCAUUAAAGGAAAUAGAUCACUCUAUACAUAUGAAAGUAAAAUUUGUGUGAACAGUGGUUUGCUGAAGGGCUCAUUUCGCUUAACUGUUUCUCACAGUUGAACCCCCUAUUAGUAUUUGCACUGUACGUAUAUUACCUUAGUGUCUUGUUCUAGAUUGUAGUCGAAUAUUGCAGUUAAUUAUGACUUUGCACUUUUAUCAUCAGGUUUUAAUCUCUAUUAUGCAAUGAGCUUAAAAAUCACAAAUUAUGCAGAUCACCAGUGAUUUUAUUGCAAAAAUAUAUUUCUUUAUGAUAAAUCAACUACGACUUAUGUAAUACCAAAUACGUUUCACAAUUUUAUACAAUUUAUAUUUCCAACUUUAUAUUAAAACAAAUACUGUUCCAUUUAAAGCAAUUGUUUUGUUUCGAAUAUAUAAUCGAAUAUAAUCACUCAUGACAACCCUAGUUUUACGUAAUGUCUUGUUCUAGAUCCAUCUUCAGAUACAGUAGUGAAGAUCAAGUAAUUAAUACAA